Molecule: ribosomal RNA, 253 nt
Filed under: uncultured bacterium
Lineage: Bacteria
Description: partial 16S ribosomal RNA
Rfam family: Bacterial small subunit ribosomal RNA
Source: RNAcentral
UACGAAGGGGGCUAGCGUUGCUCGGAAUCACUGGGCGUAAAGGGUGCGUAGGCGGGUCUUUAAGUCAGGGGGGAAAUCCUGGAGCUCAACUCCAGAACUGCCUUUGAUACUGAAGAUCUUGAGUUCGGGAGAGGUGAGUGGAACUGCGAGUGUAGAGGUGAAAUUCGUAGAUAUUCGCAAGAACACCAGUGGCGAAGGCGGCUCACUGGCCCGAUACUGACGCCGAGGCACGAAAGCGUGGGGAGCAAACAGG